This is a long non-coding RNA of Sardina pilchardus (European sardine), 1003 nucleotides long. RefSeq lists it as uncharacterized. NCBI's taxonomy places the organism in Eukaryota, Metazoa, Chordata, Actinopteri, Clupeiformes, Clupeidae. The record is from RefSeq and is a predicted model, not a curated record. The transcript is spliced from 3 exons.
CAUAGUGAAUGACCACGGGGGAGCAGAGAAGCUAGAGGUGGUGUAAUAAAACUCUGUGAACCGGUAUCAAACAAAAACAUCCCGCUUUUAGCUUUCGUACAUUUCUCCUUGAUGUGGGCCGUCGAAGAAAAUGGAUUCAAGCCACGAAGAGGGAGGAGGGAACACUAUUUAACGUCUAUAAUGUCACAGUUGUUUGUAGCAUAGCAUUUUCGUAUUAGCGACCUGUUCGGAAUAGCUAGCUUCUAACGUUAGCGCUUUAAGUAAAGCCAUGUAGAGUUAAAUAAGACAGUGCCUUGUGUUUGUUCAACGGUCUCUGACACAACCCAAGCCAGGACGUCUGUUUUCACGACGACAACGAGGGACUGGGGUUGUUUGAGAAGUCCAACCGUGUGGAAAGGAAGAUGUUGCUGUUGCUAGCUUAGCUAGCUUUGCUUCGGACAACGAACUAGCGAACGACCGUCCCGGUGCAUUGGAUGCAAGCUCACACGAGGAUAAAGGAACUGGAGGUGCUUGUGUUGACACGACAUCAAUGAAGGUAAUUCGUCUCACCAAGUCCUCCCCUCGGAAAUGUCCGACUUGGUGUCAGUGACUGUCGCACCAGGGAAGGGAAGGCUAGUGACCACAAGCUAACCUUGCUCCCAGAUGGAUCACAACAAAGCCACAGAAGAAACCUUGACCUGCCAGAGAUCCACGUAGUGAUCCACGUACUCCAGCCCCUGCCUCAUAGCUGUGGUUUGCCAUGUUUCCUUGAGGAUCCUCCCUGCCAACCACUGCCGGGUCUUAUUCCCCCUGGCAGCAAGGACUUCAUGACUUGCUUUGAGCCUGCUCUCUUCACAGGUGGCUCAGAGUGUACAUACAUACACACAUAUAUAUAGAUAAUUGGGUUAUAGUUUGUUCAUUGUGUUCAUUUUGUGUGUACUUUUCUAUGUUUUGUAUUUCUAUAAUGUCCACACGUUUUUCAAUAAAACAUGUGUCUUGUUGGUACUUUGACACUAACCUUUGU